GAAAUUCAUCUCAUUAAAACCCAAAACAAACCCUAAAAAUACAUAUUCUCUGAGUUCUCAAGGUCUAGGAAGAUAUUCAAGAUCAAUUGGUGCGGAUAAGGGAAAGAAAAGUGCCGGUGCGAAUUAGGCAAAACGGUGAACCCGUGGUGUGUGUUUUGGAAGCGAUUUUGUUAGCAAGGCAAUCUACAGUACAGUUGACAAGAGAGGGAGUUGGGCUUAGAGUUUGGGCUUGAGACAUAGAGGUUGGCCACAUCUCCGAGUUUUGAGAUGUCUCGAUGUUUUUGUUUAGAAUAAACUUAUUUGUACUUAAAUAUAUAUUUUGAAUCAUAUGUAUAAAAGUUUGUGAUAAUACUUAAUUUUCA
Long non-coding RNA from Mercurialis annua (annual mercury), 362 nucleotides. RefSeq lists it as uncharacterized. Lineage: Eukaryota; Viridiplantae; Streptophyta; Magnoliopsida; Malpighiales; Euphorbiaceae. The record is from RefSeq and is a predicted model, not a curated record. The transcript is spliced from 3 exons.